AGAAAAAUGUUGCUGUUGAUGAGUCAAAAAGGAAGAAUCUUGAAAGGGUGUUUAGUGAAUCAAGUGAUAGAAAUGAGAGGAAAGUGAAAUCAGGUAAGGCAGAAAAUGAGAAUGUUGUUGAUGAGUCAAAAGAGAAGAGUUUUGAAGGGGUGUUUGGUGGAUCAAAUGAUGGAAUUCAGCUGAGGAAAGUGAAAUCAGGCGCGAAUAAGAAAGUGAAAUCAGGUGCGAAUAAGGUAGAAAAUGAGAAUGUUGCUGUUUAUGAUGAGUCAAAAGAGGAGAAUCUUGAAAGGGUGUUUGAUGAAUCAAGUGAUGGAGAUGAGGGGAAUCGAAUUAAGGUGAGGAAAGUGAAAUCAGGAGCGAAUAAGGUAGAAAAUGAGAAUGUUGUUGAUGAUGUUGUUGAGGAGUCAGAAGAGAAGAAUCUCGAAAGGGUGUUUGGUGAAUCAAGUGAUGGAAAUGAGGGGAAUCGAAUUCAGCUGAAAUCAGAGAAAUGUGAAGAAGUUGAUGAGAAUUUCAAGAAGUCUGAUGAUGUAAUCGAGGAAAAUGAGGUUGUUGUUGAUGAUGUUCUUGACGACUCGAAGAAGAAUCUUGAAAGGGUGUUUGGUGAAUUAAGUGAUGGGAAUGAAGGGAAUCGAGUUCAGCUGAGGAAAGUAAAAUCAGGCGCGAAUAAGGUAGAAAAUGAGGAUGUUGUUGAUGUUCUUGAUGAGUCGAAGAAGAAUCUUGAAGGGGUGUUCAGUGAGUCAAGUGAUGGAAAUGAGGGGAAUCAAAUUCAGCUGA
Molecule: long non-coding RNA, 774 nt
Filed under: Capsicum annuum
Lineage: Eukaryota; Viridiplantae; Streptophyta; Magnoliopsida; Solanales; Solanaceae
Description: long non-coding RNA (CANN_LNC010818)
Source: RNAcentral